GAUCCGGUAGCUCAGUUGGUAGAGCACCUGACUUUUAAUCCGGUGGUCGUGGGUUCGAACCCCACCCGGAUCACCA
RNAcentral lists this transfer RNA (76 nucleotides) under Candidatus Marinamargulisbacteria bacterium SCGC AAA071-K20. RNAcentral describes it as "tRNA-Lys". It matches the Rfam family "tRNA". From Rfam's summary of the family: Transfer RNA (tRNA) molecules are approximately 80 nucleotides in length. Lineage: Bacteria; Bacillati; Candidatus Margulisiibacteriota; Candidatus Marinamargulisbacteria. The record is from RNAcentral.